This is a regulatory RNA element of Bacillus anthracis str. 'Ames Ancestor', 116 nucleotides long. It matches the Rfam family "SAM riboswitch aptamer (S box leader)". From Rfam's summary of the family: The SAM riboswitch is found upstream of a number of genes which code for proteins involved in methionine or cysteine biosynthesis in Gram-positive bacteria. The record is from Rfam. NCBI's taxonomy places the organism in Bacteria, Bacillati, Bacillota, Bacilli, Caryophanales, Bacillaceae.
UACUUAUCCAGAGAGGUGGAGGGAACGGCCCUAUGAAACCUCAGCAACCCCUAUGUAAAUGCAUAGGAAGGUGCUAAUUCCGCAGAGAACACGUUGUGUUUUUUGGAAGAUGAGAG